AUUCCUUAUUAGAUUCCUAGCUUCAGUUUUUAUCCACGGCUGGGAAAGGAGCGACCUGCAAGACUGCUUUAAACACCCUUCGGCAUGGCCUGAAGACAAAGGCACGUCCACACUGGAGUGCAGUUGUCUCAAACCUGUUCUGGGUGCUACUGCCAAACGUUCUGGUACUUAGAGUCGGGAUGCACAACUUCAACCACCGACUUAUCAAUGCAGCCGCCUGUGUAUUGCAAUUGGCCGUUACCUUAAGCACUGAGCCACCCGGGUUUAGUUCAGCCAUUUCAAGAAGUAUAUUUAAUGUCGGUAGUUCUGCUUUAUUAAAAUGCAGCAGAGGUACUCUUCCGUCCCUUCCGUUUAUAGUUCUCUGAGAGAGUUCUAUUUUUUGGUUUUGUUUUGUGUUUUCUUUUGCAUUUUGUAUCUUGUAUUUAUCCCUGAACAAGUUUUGUACUUUUUUUUUUUUUUUAAGAAAAGGAAUUCUUUUGUGUAUAUAUAGAUACUUGCAUGAUAUACUGUAGUCAACGUUCGGUUCCUCGAAAGGUCUUGCUGCUGUCAGGUGUUAUGCACUCCAUCCAUCAUAACUGUAUGAAACACAUUUCAUAUGUAAAUAAACGUGGGACAUUUGGCCCUUGUGCUUCUGUGAGAGAAUUAUUGAUGGCGGGUCUCUGACAUCUUUGUGAAGUUUGGGAAGUAAUUCAUUGCAGCGACAAGCUACAGGGUGUUGCAGAAUUCUUCCCACUCAGAAGAAUGGCAUAUUCGUUCUCAUUAGUAAUCAGCUAUUUUGUCACUUUCUUGUUGACUCCAUCAGUACAUUCUUCUAAAUUGAACAUUAAAUAGAUGUAUCUGAUUUCUAAAUUACUGAUCAUGUGUGCAAAUUCAUCAAGCAGA
Molecule: long non-coding RNA, 882 nt
Filed under: Homo sapiens (human)
Lineage: Eukaryota; Metazoa; Chordata; Mammalia; Primates; Hominidae
Description: HSALNT0350451
Source: RNAcentral